Molecule: ribosomal RNA, 465 nt
Filed under: Vreelandella stevensii
Lineage: Bacteria; Pseudomonadati; Pseudomonadota; Gammaproteobacteria; Oceanospirillales; Halomonadaceae
Description: partial 16S ribosomal RNA
Rfam family: Bacterial small subunit ribosomal RNA
Source: RNAcentral
CCUACGGGUGGCAGCAGUGGGGAAUAUUGGACAAUGGGCGAAAGCCUGAUCCAGCCAUGCCGCGUGUGUGAAGAAGGCCUUCGGGUUGUAAAGCACUUUCAGUGGGGAAGACAGCCUUGGGGCUAAUACCCUCGAGGAAGGACAUCACCCACAGAAGAAGCACCGGCUAACUCCGUGUCAGCAGCCGCGGUAAUACGGAGGGUGCGAGCGUUAAUCGGAAUUACUGGGCGUAAAGCGCGCGUAGGCGGUCUGAUAAGCCGGUUGUGAAAGCCCCGGGCUCAACCUGGGAACGGCAUCCGGAACUGUCAGGCUAGAGUGCAGGAGAGGAAGGUAGAAUUCCCGGUGUAGCGGUGAAAUGCGUAGAGAUCGGGAGGAAUACCAGUGGCGAAGGCGGCCUUCUGGACUGACACUGACGCUGAGGUGCGAAAGCGUGGGUAGCAAACAGGAUUAGAUACCCUAGUAGUC